CCUACGGGUGACAGCAGUGAGGAAUAUUGGUCAAUGGACGCAACUCUGAACCAGCCAUGCCGCGUGCAGGAAGACGGCUCUACGAGUUGUAAACUGCUUUUGUACGAGGGUAAACGCAGAUACGCGUACCUGUCUGAAAGUAGCGUACGAAUAAGGAUCGGCUAACUCCGUGCCAGCAGCCGCGGUAAUACGGAGGAUUCAAGCGUUAUCCGGAUUUAUUGGGUUUAAAGGGUGCGUAGGCGGUCGGUUAAGUUAGAGGUGAAAUCUCGAGGCUCAACCUCGGAAUUGCCUCUGAUACUGUUCGGCUAGAGUAUAGUUGCGGUAGGCGGAAUGUGUGGUGUAGCAGUGAAAUGCUUAGAGAUCAUGCAGAACACCGAUUGCGAAGGCAGCUUACCAAGCUACUACUGACGUUGAGGCACGAAAGCGUGGGGAGCAAACAGGAUUAGAUACCCGAGUAGUC
Molecule: ribosomal RNA, 460 nt
Filed under: uncultured bacterium
Lineage: Bacteria
Description: partial 16S ribosomal RNA
Rfam family: Bacterial small subunit ribosomal RNA
Source: RNAcentral